AUAAGACAAUUCUGGUGAGGAAUUCCCGUCACCAUGAGUGCUGUGGUCACAGCCAGUACGACACUGAGACUCAGUGCUGCUGUUCAAAUGAGGAGAAGAUGGAAAUACAAUCGAAGGAUUCAUCCUGCUGUGUCAGGAAUUUCACUCCAGGCCUUUCAAGUGGAAAUACCACCUUCAACAAACCUUCACCAAAGCAUGGAUAUUGUGGUGAAGAGAUUUACGAUAUGGAAAAUAAGUUGUGUUGUGGUCCAAAUAAUGAUAAAAAGAUCCUGACAAGGAAAUCCAGAGAUCAUGUGUGCUGUCAUCAUGGCCAGUUCAACGUCAAAACUGAGUGCUGCUGUUAUA
Molecule: long non-coding RNA, 345 nt
Organism: Oreochromis aureus
Lineage: Eukaryota; Metazoa; Chordata; Actinopteri; Cichliformes; Cichlidae
Exons: 3
Source: RefSeq, a predicted model, not a curated record